RNAcentral lists this transfer RNA (73 nucleotides) under archaeon BMS3Abin17. RNAcentral describes it as "tRNA-Lys". It matches the Rfam family "tRNA". Rfam says of the family: Transfer RNA (tRNA) molecules are approximately 80 nucleotides in length. Their secondary structure includes four short double-helical elements and three loops (D, anti-codon, and T loops). The record is from RNAcentral. RNAcentral also lists the same sequence under 2 other names.
GGCCUCGUAGCUCAAUUGGUAGAGCACUGCCCUUUUAAGGCAGGUGUUGUGGGUUCGAGCCCCAUCGAGGCCA